CCCUUAGAUGUUCUGGGCCGCACGCGCGCUACACUGAUGCAUUCAACGAGUCUAAAACCUGGUCUGAUAGGGCUGGGUAAUCUUUUGAAUGUGCAUCGUGAUUGGGAUAGAUGAUUGCAAUUCUUCAUCUUCAACGAGGAAUGCCUAGUAAACGCAAGUCAUCAGCUUGCAUUGAUUACGUCCCUGCCCUUUGUACACACCGCCCGUCGCUCCUACCGAUUUAAUGUUCCGAUGAAUACCAUGGACUGAGAGUAUGAAUGGGUUCGCCUAUUUCUGCUUCUCGGGAAGUGGAGUAAAUCUUAACAUUUAGAGGAAGGAGAAGUCGUAACA
Molecule: ribosomal RNA, 330 nt
Filed under: uncultured eukaryote
Lineage: Eukaryota
Description: partial 18S ribosomal RNA
Rfam family: Eukaryotic small subunit ribosomal RNA
Source: RNAcentral